AGAGCUAAUACAUGCCUUGUAGCUCUGAUCGAAGUGAUGAGCGCAUUUAUUAGAUCCCGGCUUCGGCCGUGUUCUGGUGAUUCUGAAUAAUCCAGCAGAGCACAGUCCCGGUGCCAAAUCUUUCAAGUGUCUGCUCUAUCAACUUUCGAUGGUAGUUCAUGUGACUACCAUGGUUGUGACGGGUAACGGAGGAUUAGGGUCUGACUCCGGAGAGGGAGCCUGAGAAACGGCUACCACUU
Molecule: ribosomal RNA, 239 nt
Filed under: Diplolaimella sp. Ugent CeMoFe199F
Lineage: Eukaryota; Metazoa; Nematoda; Chromadorea; Monhysterida; Monhysteridae
Description: partial small subunit ribosomal RNA
Rfam family: Eukaryotic small subunit ribosomal RNA
Source: RNAcentral